This 74-nucleotide transfer RNA is filed under the name Bacilli bacterium. RNAcentral's name for it is "tRNA-His". It matches the Rfam family "tRNA". Rfam says of the family: Transfer RNA (tRNA) molecules are approximately 80 nucleotides in length. The record is from RNAcentral. Lineage: Bacteria; Bacillati; Bacillota; Bacilli.
GUGAGGAUAGCUCAUUUGGUUAGAGCGUCGGAAUGUGGUCCCGAAGGUCGUGGGUUCGAAACCCAUUCUUCACC